UACGAGGGGGGCAAGCGUUGUUCGGAAUUAUUGGGCGUAAAGGGCGCGUAGGCGGUGUCGCAAGUCCGUGGUGAAAUCUCUAGGCUCAACUUAGAGACUGCCGCGGAAACUGCGGUGCUUGAGUGUGGGAGAGGUGCGUGGAAUUCCAGGUGUAGCGGUGAAAUGCGUAGAUAUCUGGAGGAAUACCGGUGGCGAAGGCGGCAUCCUGGACCGACAUUGACGCUGAUGAGCGAAAGCUAGGGGAGCAAACGGG
RNAcentral lists this ribosomal RNA (253 nucleotides) under uncultured bacterium. Its description in RNAcentral is "partial 16S ribosomal RNA". It matches the Rfam family "Bacterial small subunit ribosomal RNA", at positions 524 to 776 of the family's 1533-position model. The record is from RNAcentral.